GCGCCCGUAGCUCAACCGGAUAGAGCAUCUGCCUUCUAAGCAGAGGGUCGCAGGUUCGAGUCCUGCCGGGCGCGCCA
This 77-nucleotide transfer RNA is filed under the name Gammaproteobacteria bacterium. RNAcentral's name for it is "tRNA-Arg". It matches the Rfam family "tRNA". From Rfam's summary of the family: Transfer RNA (tRNA) molecules are approximately 80 nucleotides in length. Their secondary structure includes four short double-helical elements and three loops (D, anti-codon, and T loops). Further hydrogen bonds mediate the characteristic L-shaped molecular structure. tRNAs have two regions of fundamental functional importance: the anti-codon, which is responsible for specific mRNA codon recognition, and the 3' end, to which the tRNAs corresponding amino acid is attached (by aminoacyl-tRNA synthetases). tRNAs cope with the degeneracy of the genetic code in two manners: having more than one tRNA (with a specific anti-codon) for a particular amino acid; and 'wobble' base-pairing, i.e. permitting non-standard base-pairing at the 3rd anti-codon position. RNAcentral also lists the same sequence under 1 other name. Lineage: Bacteria; Pseudomonadati; Pseudomonadota; Gammaproteobacteria. The record is from RNAcentral.